AGGAAUGUAGCUCAGUGACAGAGUGCUUGGCUGUCAUGCAAAAGGCCCUGGGUUCAAUCCCAGCACUA
RNAcentral lists this transfer RNA (68 nucleotides) under Cavia porcellus (domestic guinea pig). It matches the Rfam family "tRNA". Rfam says of the family: Transfer RNA (tRNA) molecules are approximately 80 nucleotides in length. Their secondary structure includes four short double-helical elements and three loops (D, anti-codon, and T loops). Further hydrogen bonds mediate the characteristic L-shaped molecular structure. tRNAs have two regions of fundamental functional importance: the anti-codon, which is responsible for specific mRNA codon recognition, and the 3' end, to which the tRNAs corresponding amino acid is attached (by aminoacyl-tRNA synthetases). tRNAs cope with the degeneracy of the genetic code in two manners: having more than one tRNA (with a specific anti-codon) for a particular amino acid; and 'wobble' base-pairing, i.e. permitting non-standard base-pairing at the 3rd anti-codon position. Lineage: Eukaryota; Metazoa; Chordata; Mammalia; Rodentia; Caviidae. The record is from Rfam by way of RNAcentral.